GACGAACGCUGGCGGCGUGCUUAACACAUGCAAGUCGAACGAUGAAGCAAAGAAUCGAAGCUUCGGCAGAAAUUCAUUUCGGAUUAGUGGCAGACGGGUGAGUAACGCGUGAGCAACCUACCUCUUACAAAGGGAUAGCCUCGGGAAACCGGGAUUAAUACCAUAUAACAUUGCGACGAAGCAUUUCGAUGCAAUCAAAGCUACGGCGGUAAGAGAUGGGCUCGCGUCCCAUUAACCGGAUGGUGAGGUAACGGCUCACCAUAGUGACGAUGGGUAACCGGCCUGAGAGGGUGAACGGUCACACUGGAACUGAGACACGGUCCAGACUCCUACGGGAGGCAGCAGUGGGGAAUAAUGCACAAUGGAGGGAACUCUGAUGCAGCGACGCCGCGUGAGUGAUGAAGGAAUUCGUUUCGUAAAACUCUGUUCUAUGGGAAGAAAAGGACUGUACCAUAGGAGAAAGCUCCGGCUAAAUACGUG
Molecule: ribosomal RNA, 480 nt
Filed under: uncultured bacterium
Lineage: Bacteria
Description: partial 16S ribosomal RNA
Rfam family: Bacterial small subunit ribosomal RNA
Source: RNAcentral